RNAcentral lists this ribosomal RNA (445 nucleotides) under uncultured bacterium. RNAcentral describes it as "partial 16S ribosomal RNA". It matches the Rfam family "Bacterial small subunit ribosomal RNA", at positions 354 to 796 of the family's 1533-position model. The record is from RNAcentral.
GUGAGGAAUAUUGGUCAAUGGACGGAAGUCUGAACCAGCCAAGUAGCGUGCAGGAUGACGGCCCUAUGGGUUGUAAACUGCUUUUAUGCGGGGGUAAAGUGAGUGACGUGUCAUUCAUUGCAAGUACCGCAAGAAUAAGGACCGGCUAAUUCCGUGCCAGCAGCCGCGGUAAUACGGAAGGUCCUGGUGUUAUCCGGAUUUAUUGGGUUUAAAGGGAGCGUAGGCCGUCAGGCAAGCGUGUUGUGAAAUGUCGUGGCGCAACCAUGGACUUGCAGCGCAAACUGCCCGACUUGAGUGCGCGGAAAGCAGGCGGAAUUUGUGGUGUAGCGGUGAAAUGCUUAGAUAUCACGAAGAACCCCGAUUGCGAAGGCAGCCUGCUGUAGCGCUACUGACGCUGAAGCUCGAAAGUGCGGGUAUCGAACAGGAUUAGAUACCCGAGUAGUCC